UCUUUUUAUAGUCAUUGUGUUGUAUGCUAGAUUAGGAUAAUACCUUGGAUGUUCUUAUUUGCAUGUAUAAUACAGAAAACAUAGAUCCAAGGUAUUUAGGGUUGCAUGUACACUUAGGAAGUGUUAGAAUGCUCAAAACCCAACAUGCUCAUCCUCCCCUUCUUUAAGUUUUGGAACUCAUUGUUCAGAUUANGGAACUCAUUGUUCAGAUUAAUCAGAUCUAUCUCUGAACAAUACUGCACCCUUAACUGCUCCAAGAACUCCUCCCAUGACAUUUUCAGGGCUUCUCCUCGUGACAUAGUAUCUGCCAACAACUUCCUCCAACUCAAGACUCCAGUCUUCAUUUGUCUAACUGCAAAGACAGUCUUUUGUUUGUUGCUAUAGUCGCAACUUUCAAAUACCAUCUCCAUUUCGGAGAUCCAAUCCAUAAUCUCAACAGGCUUCGGGAUUCCAAAAAGACUUGGCGGCUUGGCGCCCAAGAAAUUCCUAUACAUUCGCACAUCCUUGUUGUUUCUCCUUUCCGAGUUGUUCCUUCGUUCUCCUUGAGUCCCAACUUGACUCACCAUGCAACUAUUGUUCCCUUCCUCCGAUUGCUCGGGAAUCACUUUGGGUUCCUCAAUAGGUAUGAUUGGUUCAUUCCUAUUUUCAUGUAACAACCGUCGCAUUUCUUCCCUUUGUUCGGCUAACAUAGCCCGAACCAUGGCUUGCAUCCCAACCAUUGUUAUUGGUUCUGGUGCUGCUGCUACAACAUGUGCUUGCUUAAUCACUGGUGGUUGAUUCCUGUUUUCAUCCGCGUUUCCAACUCCACUUCUGGUUCUUACCAUUCUUUUUAUCUGCACAACAAAUAAGGUGAAAUUAGAUCCUCAUCCAUAAUAGAUAAUUAUAUCAUCCUUAUCACUCUGAAACGUUUACAUGUUAGUUCUAAUACCGUAGACGUACGCUUAGAAUCCUACACAGAUUAGGUUUCCAGAUUCGGUCGGCAACAGACCAUAGAUCCGAAC
This 1001-nucleotide long non-coding RNA is filed under the name Lactuca sativa (garden lettuce). Its description in RNAcentral is "long non-coding RNA (LSAT_LNC004369)". Lineage: Eukaryota; Viridiplantae; Streptophyta; Magnoliopsida; Asterales; Asteraceae. The record is from RNAcentral.